RNAcentral lists this ribosomal RNA (893 nucleotides) under Firmicutes bacterium enrichment culture clone CTBE CDB1010G05. Its description in RNAcentral is "bacterial SSU rRNA". It matches the Rfam family "Bacterial small subunit ribosomal RNA", at positions 44 to 929 of the family's 1533-position model. Lineage: Bacteria; Bacillati; Bacillota. The record is from RNAcentral.
CUGCCUAAUACUGCAGUCGAGCGGAUCUUCUCCUUCGGGGGAAGUUAGCGGCGGACGGGUGAGUAACACGUAGGCAACCUGCCCACAAGACUGGGAUAACAUUCGGAAACGAAUGCUAAGACCGGAUACGCAAGCCUGGGGCAUCCCGGGCUUGGGAAACACGGCGCAAGCUGUGGCUUGUGGAUGGGCCUGCGGCGCAUUAGCUAGUUGGUGGGGUAACGGCCCACCAAGGCGACGAUGCGUAGCCGACCUGAGAGGGUGAACGGCCACACUGGGACUGAGACACGGCCCAGACUCCUACGGGAGGCAGCAGUAGGGAAUCUUCCACAAUGGGCGAAAGCCUGAUGGAGCAACGCCGCGUGAGUGAGGAAGGCUUUCGGGUCGUAAAGCUCUGUUGCCAGGGAAGAAUAAGGGCCAGUUAACUGCUGGUCCGAUGACGGUACCUGAGAAGACAGCCCCGGCUAACUACGUGCCAGCAGCCGCGGUAAUACGUAGGGGGCAAGCGUUGUCCGGAAUUAUUGGGCGUAAAGCGCGCGCAGGCGGUUCUUUAAGUCUGGUGUAUAAGUGCGGGGCUCAACCCCGUGAGGCACUGGAAACUGGGGAACUUGAGUGCAGAAGAGGAGAGCGGAAUUCCACGUGUAGCGGUGAAAUGCCUAGAGAUGUGGAAGAACACCAGUGGCGAAGGCGGCUCUCUGGACUGUACCUGACGCUGAGGCGCGAAAAGCGUGGGGAGCAACAAGGAUUAGAUACCCCUGGUAUCCACGCCGUAAACGAUGAGUGCUAGGUGUUGGGGGGAUCCCCCCCUCGGUGCCCAAAUUUACACAUUAAGCACUCCCCCUGGGGGAUAACCUCGCAGAAAUGAAACUCAAAGAAUUGACGGGGACCCGCCCAAC